ACGCUGGCGGCGUGCUUAACACAUGCAAGUCGAACGAUGAAGCCUAGCUUGCUAGGUGGAUUAGUGGCGAACGGGUGAGUAAUACGUGAGUAACCUACCUUUAACUCUGGGAUAAGCCUGGGAAACUGGGUCUAAUACCGGAUACGACCAAUCUCCGCAUGGGGUGUUGGUGGAAAGCGCUAUGUAGUGGUUAUAGAUGGGCUCACGGCCUAUCAGCUUGUUGGUGAGGUAACGGCUCACCAAGGCGACGACGGGUAGCCGGCCUGAGAGGGUGACCGGCCACACUGGGACUGAGACACGGCCAGACUCCUACGGGAGGCAGCAGUGGGGAAUAUUGCACAAUGGGCGCAAGCCUGAUGCAGCGACGCCGCGUGAGGGAUGACGGCCUUCGGGUUGUAAACCUCUGUUAGCAGGGAAGAAGAGAGAUUGACGGUACCUGCAGAGAAAGCGCCGGCUAACUACGUGCCAGCAGCCGCGGUAAUACGUAGGGCGCGAGCGUUGUCCGGAAUUAUUGGGCGUAGAGAGCUUGUAGGCGGUUUGUCGCGUCUGCUGUGAAAGGCCGGAGCUUAACUCCGUGUAUUGCAGUGGGUACGGGCAGACUAGAGUGCAGUAGGGGAGACUGGAAUUCCUGGUGUAGCGGUGGAAUGCGCAGAUAUCAGGAGGAACACCGAUGGCGAAGGCAGGUCUCUGGGCUGUAACUGACGCUGAGAAGCGAAAGCAUGGGGAGCGAACAGGAUUAGAUACCCUGGUAGUCCAUGCCGUAAACGUUGGGCACUAGGUGUGGGGGACAUUCCACGUUUUCCGCGCCGUAGCUAACGCAUUAAGUGCCCCGCCUGGGGAGUACGGCCGCAAGGCUAAAACUCAAAGAAAUUGACGGGGGCCCGCACAAGCGGCGGAGCAUGCGGAUUA
RNAcentral lists this ribosomal RNA (909 nucleotides) under uncultured bacterium. RNAcentral describes it as "bacterial SSU rRNA". It matches the Rfam family "Bacterial small subunit ribosomal RNA", at positions 33 to 948 of the family's 1533-position model. The record is from RNAcentral.